RNAcentral lists this transfer RNA (61 nucleotides) under Eurydice pulchra. RNAcentral's name for it is "tRNA-Tyr". Lineage: Eukaryota; Metazoa; Arthropoda; Malacostraca; Isopoda; Cirolanidae. The record is from RNAcentral.
GGCGAAGUGACUGAAGUUUAGGUGGUAGACUGUAAAUCUACUUAUGGGUAACCCUUUGCCG